This 285-nucleotide long non-coding RNA is filed under the name Elaeis guineensis (African oil palm). RNAcentral's name for it is "long non-coding RNA (EGUI_LNC043932)". The record is from RNAcentral. Lineage: Eukaryota; Viridiplantae; Streptophyta; Magnoliopsida; Arecales; Arecaceae.
AUCGUGUAUGCGAAAUAAAGGGUCUGUACUUUCAAACCUCUGUGAAGGAUUGCUUCAGAUUUUUGAAGAUUUGAUCUUUGGUUUUGCUACUAAUCAUGUAAAGAUUUGAUCCUUAUUUAUGUAGAUUAAUAAAAAAAUUUUAGAUGCAACCUGGGCUAUCCGGAGAGAAACAGUUUUUCUUUCCUUCAUUUAAUUGUGGAGUGUAAGGAGGUGUCCACUGAAAGCGAAUAUCAUUUUAUUUUAAAUGAUCGAGAAAUUUACUAGCAAGUAUUCUCCUCCUCGAUC